This 528-nucleotide ribosomal RNA is filed under the name Triticum aestivum (bread wheat). Its description in RNAcentral is "partial small subunit ribosomal RNA". The record is from RNAcentral. Lineage: Eukaryota; Viridiplantae; Streptophyta; Magnoliopsida; Poales; Poaceae.
AUGUCCCAGGCAGCGUACGAGCACUUCCCAUCCAUCCUAGGGGCCGCUACUGCGCGCACUCAUUCCAUCAGCCUCGACGCCAUCAACCACAGAAGCUUCGACCUACUCGAGCUCGACAAUCCAUUCUCCGAGUAGGAGAUUUGGGAGGCCAUCAAGAAAAUGCCAAUGGGCAAGGCGCCCGGGCCAGACGGAUUCACCUCCGACUUCCUCCGGGCAUGUUGGCCCAUCAUCAAGGCCGACAUCUAUGAGGCCUUCGACAAGCUCUAUUCCAUGAACGGGUAGGGUUUUCACAAGCUAAACGAGGCCCUACUCAUCCUACUGCCCAAGAAACCUGAUGCCCACGCGAUCACGAACUACUGGCCCAUUAGUCUGAUCCACAUCAUCGCCAAAUUGUUCGCCAAGGUGCUCUCGUUGCGUCUCGCCCCAAGGAUGGGGGAGAUCAUCUCCGCCAACCAAAGUGCAUUCAUCGCCAGCCGGUGCAUGCACGAUAACUUCCUGCUGGUUCAGCAGACGGCCCGAUUCCUCCAC